Molecule: ribosomal RNA, 252 nt
Filed under: uncultured bacterium
Lineage: Bacteria
Description: partial 16S ribosomal RNA
Rfam family: Bacterial small subunit ribosomal RNA
Source: RNAcentral
UACGGGGGGGCAAGCGUUGUUCGGAAUUCCUGGGCGUAAAGGGCUCGUAGGCGGCCCACUAAGUCAUACGUGAAAUCCCUCGGCUUAACCGGGGAACUGCGUCUGAUACUGGAUGGCUUGAGUUCGGGAGAGGGAUGCGGAAUUCCAGGUGUAGCGGUGAAAUGCGUAGAUAUCUGGAGGAACACCGGUGGCGAAGGCGGCAUCCUGGACCGAUACUGACGCUGAGGAGCGAAAGCCAGGGGAGCAAACGGG